Molecule: non-coding RNA, 75 nt
Organism: Streptomyces ipomoeae 91-03
Lineage: Bacteria; Bacillati; Actinomycetota; Actinomycetes; Kitasatosporales; Streptomycetaceae
Rfam family: ASpks TB sRNA
Source: Rfam
CUUGAGGGAGCCGAGCCACAGGGGCCGGUCGUCGGGCCGGUCCUGACCGUAGGUGGCGAUGAUCGCCUGUGCCUC